This 3898-nucleotide long non-coding RNA is filed under the name Dicentrarchus labrax (European seabass). RNAcentral describes it as "lncRNA (ENSDLAG00005031160.1)". Lineage: Eukaryota; Metazoa; Chordata; Actinopteri; Moronidae. The record is from RNAcentral.
GAGAAACUCAUGUCUGAAGAAAGAAAAAAAAGGCUGGCCUCUAAACUUAAGGGACGUUUUUUUUUUUUUUUUUUUGUGUCGUAUCCUGCAUUGGAAAUGUCACAUAAGGUUACUGAAGAUCCACCCUUAUCCUGCCUGGCGGGUUGAAGUGAAGUGCAGCCCUGUUUUAGUGCGCUUCAAGUACUCCAUUUUUUUCUCUCCCUUGUCCCCCCCUAAUUGUCCUCAUUGAGCCGUGUGGACCAGUUGCACAGCCUGUCUGGCUGGGGUCAGCGAGUUUACCGUGUGCUUUUUAUCUAUAUUUCAUGCUAUGGCGCUGCGCGCUGACAGCCACACAUCCACCAUGAGAAAAUUCAGAGACGCACAAGGAAUGCCGAAAGGGCAAAAUGAAGAUCAUUCAAGCAUCAAGUCACAUUUUCUAUAGCAAUAAAAUACAAUAAAGCGUCGUUUAAUUUUCCUUUGAAUGUAAACAAAAAUGACAGAAAGCACACGGCGCAAAAGUGACCUAUGCAGUCAUAAAUUGGAAACUGAAGUGGAGUACAAAUAGACGAUAAAUAUAACUACUACUUUCCGGAUUGGUAGCAAUUAAAUAAGCGAUUAUAAGAGUGAAAAAAAAAUAAAACGUCGCCUACUUACGAUUCAUUUCAAUAACUUCUGGGCGUUAUUGUCUCGCCCCUGCGCCUCUCCGGUCGUUUGGAGACGGAAAAAAGUCUGUUCCUCCGGCGAAGCAGGGCCAUUCUCAUCGAGGGGAUUGUCAGGCUUCAUCUGAUGGCGAUAAAGUUUGCAUAAGAUAACACCUGGUUAAUUCUGCCGAGGACAGUGGACGUCCGAUUCCGCCGAUGUCAGGUCUUCAGUGAUGCCUGCACUCGCCGGGAUUGAGCGCUGUGAGGAGAGGGAGCGCACAGAAAGGCGUCAUGUGAGCCGGGGAGAGGUGCGCCAUUGGCCAGCCGGGGAUAAGUAUGAUAAGGCUGCUCUGUGCGCCAUUGGCCCACGACGGGAGCGGAGGCGCCUCCUCACUUGGCUGUGCGCAAGAAUAGUUACACGGAGGGCAGCGGGGAGAAAUACACGUUUUCUUUCCUCUCAGUUAAAAAGAGGACUGAAUGAAAAUGUCUGGAAUGAAGACAAAGUCUGUGGAAGGCAGUUUCCUCAGAGGGAGGGGCCAGAACUGUAUGUGUGGGGAAAUUCUGGGUCAAUCAAUAACCCCUGAUUUUCCAACUCGUACCAACGACUUUGAGAAUGACAUGGUUGGUUUUUGUGUGUACCAUCACUUCCAUGUGGCACCAUGCUGCCAGAACAGUUUGCUGUAUGAAAGGACUUGAACAAAACUUGCAGAUGUGUCUUUGUAUUACUGAUAAAAGAAAAAAAAACAGUCACUUACAAUAACAAUAACGUUAUCCAGGGUAGAAUUGUUUUUACAGCGUGGUUAAUGUAUCAUUAGUGAUGAAUUUGGUUUUAGAUAUAAAUAUAAUCGCUGAAUCUAUACACUAAAUAUGUUUUAUGACUUUGAAUAUACACCUUUGUAAGAAGGCUGAUGAAUUUGCAGUGCUGCUUCCAAUCAUUCUGCCAUUAUGCCUCAUCAUUUCACUCACUGCUCUUUUCAGAGAAGCAGAUGUGAAUGAGUCUGUGUGUGUGCAUACACUGUUUGUGGUUGAAAGUGUGUGUAUGAGAGAGAGAGAGAGAGAGAGAGAGAGAGAGAGAGAGAGAGAGAGAGAGAGAGAAAGACAGAGAGAGAGAGUUAGCCAAAUAGCCCUCUCUUUUGAAACCCAGAGGGCCUGGCUGACUCCAGUCUCCAACAUGGCCGCCAUAAAUCAGUGAGAGAAGGAGCUAAGUUAAUUGCACAGGCAUUUAUGAAGGAGAAAGCCUUGAUUUACUCCAAAAGCUUUACAUCUCCCCUGUGGAUGUGGAGUGAUGAAAGGAGUGGAGCAAGGGAAAAUGGGAGGAGGGGCACGGUGGUGGGGACAGGGAUAGCACAUGCGGGGUGUGAACAAAGUUCACUUGCAGCAUAUUAGAUAAGCUGAUUGGUGAACUAGAUUGUGGACAGAUAUUCAUCUAUUGCCUUGGGAAUAAUUAUCAAAACUUGAUAGAAGUCAGGGUGACUUUGGUUUAGAUAGGAAAUGUUGAUUAUGGAGUCAAAUAACUGGAUAUUGGAUGUGCAAGUUAUCUGACAUUUGCAUAAUGUAAAUACUUUGAAACAAACAUAGGCAUGUAACAAUUAGGUGCAGUCUAUGUAUCUAGUCCUCCCGCUUGACAAAGGUUUACAUUCAAUUUCUUCAAGGAAAAGCAGGCCCUCACACACUAGAGGUGGACAGCAUUGUACUUUUUCUGACAUUUUUGUGGUACUGGUACUUUAGUAGUAUUAGUAUUCUUAUUUUGAGAGUAUUAACAAUUUGAACCCAUUACAUUUCAAAAGAGGAAUCUUGUAAUGUGUGUAUUGUUGAUUAUAUUUACCUGCCACCACACAAUCAUGCAAAAGCUACAAUAACCUUAAAUUAUGAUGCAUUAUUGUAGUUUCAUUUACAUCUCAUUGUAUGAGGUUGUUAUUGUAUGUCUAGUGCUGCCUGAACCGUCUGCAUUUUUACAAUAUGUCAAGUUUGUCAUUGCAAUAAAAAUGUUUGAAUGGCCAUUAAACUGAAUUUGUUCUCAUUUUAAUACAGUAAUAGAUUUCAAUGGAUGAUUAAACUUUUAAUUUGAAUGUAUUUUUACAUUCUGGUGUCGUGUUGUGCAUCAUAUUGUAAUGUUUAAUGCUCUUCAGUGGUGGGUAAGCUUUGUCAAUUAACUUCUCCAGAGAAGUUUGAUCAAGGUUACACCCCAUGGUUAUUCAGUAUACAGCAGUAACGGUGGGUGUGUUUCAUCUGCACCAUGCAUGUUUUUUAACACUGGUCUAACAUGGUUGCUACUGAAAUAUGCCCUUGCUCUGUUACGGACUGACACCACAAAAUGUGAUAUUUGCCACUGAUGAUUCAGACUGCUGGAAAAAUGGCAACUAUCAACUCUGGCUGCAUUGGAUUGGAUAUCUUGACAUGAUAUCACAUUGUUGGUGAAUUGUCUUCAGGCAUAAGAUGAAUACACCACUGAACAAAAAAUGGGCGGAUAGAUGAAAGGUGAAAGCUAUUUUAAACAGUUUAAGGUGGGUGUUUUUGUAGUCUAGACUCUGGCUGAAACUUCAUCCUCUCGUUGAGAGCUGCCUAAAUGUGUUAACAUUUGGUUACACAUACUAUGCAUCCAUCUUUGCUAAUUAGUAGUGGUAACAAACUUUGGAUAAGGACAUGCUGCUACCCGGACCUCCACAAAGAAACCACAAGUGAACAAGUUUGAAGAGUUCCCAGGCUUUCUGAACAUCUGUUUUAUCCACAAAGAGACAGAUUAGCACUUAACCCCACUUCUCCCCUUUCCUCCACAUUUAGCAGCGCCAGCUACUGUCUAGCUCACAAGCUUCUUUCCUGUGUGAUGAUGCUAUCAAGGUUUCGACUGCCUUUUGGCAGCUGUGUGCUGCAUACAGCCCUCUCUCUCACACACACAUAGUGAAAAAGAAGGUGGAAGUGGUGGGGAACCGUUGAGACCGUGGUUUUGAAGGUAGGCCUAUGUGGCUGCUGAUGGGAAACAUUCGUUACAAUAGGGUAGAAAAAGCUGUAGCCGCUGCAUAAGAAGACAGAAAUAGUGAAUCAAGUUGGCAUUAGGAGGGCAAGACAAACGAAAAAGAGUAAAAGAGUGAAAGAGAAAGCUGUAUAUUUUUACCACGUUUUAAUAAUGGGUUUUAGAUCAGUUUUUUUACUCCGGAUUUUAGUAGUUAAAUGUUACAUAUAAUGAGUAAAAUUACAAUUUUACUUGCACUUGUUUGCCUUAGCAGUCAUAUCAUUAUAUACACGUUUUGAUGUUUGUUAAGCAAUGUUUUUAGCUGGAG